CAGCUGCGUGAAUCUCAGAGGGGAUUAAAGAGGGACAUUCGAGUCACUUCACAGUCACUGCUGCACAGACAUGAUGGCUUUACUGGGAAUGUUCCUCUGGACACUGGCCCUGUCUGUUCAAGGCUCUGGGGCUCAGAUCAUCCUGACUCAGAGACCAGCAGUGGAAUUGGUCGCUGUAGGAGUCACUGUCACUCUGAACUGCCAAUCCAGCAGCUCUGGACUUACGAGCAGCUUAGCCUGGUAUCUGCAGAAACCUGGAGAAAGUCCCAAACUUCUCUUCUAUUCAUUGAGUAGCAAGGUGUCUGGGAUUCCAGACCGUUUCUCCCACAGCCGUGAUGGCACAAAUUUCAGGCUGAAAAUCAGUGGAGUGCAGGCUGAAGAUGCAGGAGAUUAUUACUGUCAACAGUAUUAUGAAACACCGUACACACAGUGACACAGGCCAGUACAAAAACCUCACUCAGCUGUGCAUACGCUCAGUCUCGGAAAACUACUAUCAAAACUGGCAAGAUAUAUCCAGACUACUGUAAUUCACUGGAUUAUAAUGGUCCUUCAUACCCUGAGACCCUGUACUGGAUGGUGGGUGCUUAUUUAUUUAUUUUAUUUAUUUUUAUUUGUUCAUUUUCAUUGGGAAAUGGUUUCAUACUUUAAUUUAUUGGACUAUGCACCAUACUUUUUAGCAUUUAUCUCCCAUAAUUUCUAUGAUGAAGCAAUAGUUUUAUAAAUCUGAAUAUUUAUUACUGGUUUAUCUGUUGAAUUUUAUUCAUCUUUGCAAUGUAAACAGAAGUUUAUUGAACUGCUAAAACAUGAUCCAUACUGAUACAGAAUAACAUAACGUGUAUCAGCGUUUUGUACAGUAUAUAAUAAUUGUGUGCUAGAAUGAUCAAACUGAUAAGUUACGUCUUCCUUUAUAGACACACCUUCUUGUCAUCCUCUUAUUGAAUAUUUAAUAGUUCAAUGGACUGUCCUUCAUAUAUG
Brienomyrus brachyistius is the source of this 975-nucleotide non-coding RNA. Lineage: Eukaryota; Metazoa; Chordata; Actinopteri; Osteoglossiformes; Mormyridae. The record is from the annotation of a RefSeq genome assembly.